AAUCAACGCUGGCGGCGUGCCUCAGACAUGCAAGUCGAACGAUUAAAGCUCUCUUCGGAGAGUGUAUAGAGUGGCGCACGGGUGAGUAACACGUAAGUAAUCUACCUUUGAGUGGGAAGUAACAUCGGGAACCGGAAUGCUAAUAACCGCAUAAUGCAGCGGCAUCGCAAGAUGACAGUUGUUAAAGAAUUUAUUCGCUUGAAGAGGAGCUUGCGGCAGAUUAGUC
Molecule: ribosomal RNA, 226 nt
Filed under: uncultured bacterium
Lineage: Bacteria
Description: partial 16S ribosomal RNA
Rfam family: Bacterial small subunit ribosomal RNA
Source: RNAcentral